RNAcentral lists this ribosomal RNA (207 nucleotides) under uncultured bacterium. Its description in RNAcentral is "partial 16S ribosomal RNA". It matches the Rfam family "Bacterial small subunit ribosomal RNA", at positions 568 to 774 of the family's 1533-position model. The record is from RNAcentral.
CUCGUAGGCGGUUCGUCGCGUCCGGUGUGAAAGUCCAUCGCUUAACGGUGGAUCUGCGCCGGGUACGGGCGGGCUGGAGUGCGGUAGGGGAGACUGGAAUUCCCGGUGUAACGGUGGAAUGUGUAGAUAUCGGGAAGAACACCAAUGGCGAAGGCAGGUCUCUAGGCCGUUACUGACGCUGAGGAGCGAAAGCGUGGGGAGCGAACA